RNAcentral lists this ribosomal RNA (440 nucleotides) under uncultured bacterium. RNAcentral's name for it is "partial 16S ribosomal RNA". It matches the Rfam family "Bacterial small subunit ribosomal RNA", at positions 338 to 795 of the family's 1533-position model. The record is from RNAcentral.
CCUACGGGUGGCUGCAGUGGGGGCUAUUGCACAAUGGGGGAAACCCUGAUGUAGCGACGCCGCGUGUGGGAAGACGGUCCUCUGGAUUGUAAACCACUGUCCCCAGGGACGAAGAUGACGGUACCUGGGGAGGAAGCUCCGGCUAACUACGUGCCAGCAGCCGCGGGAAGACGGAGGGAGCGAGCGUUGUCCGGAAUUACUGGGUGUAAAGGGAGCGUAGGCGGGGAUGAGAGUUGGGGGUCAAAACUACCGGCUCAACUGGUAGUCGCACUCAAAACUGCAGCUUUUGAGUGAAGUAGAGGCAGGCGGAAUUCCUAGUGUAGCGGUGAAAUGCGUAGAUAUUAGGAGGAACACCAGUGGCGAAGGCGGCCUGCUGGGCUUUUACUGACGCUGAGGCUCGAAAGUGUGGGGAGCAAACAGGAUUAGAUACCCUGGUAGUC